AUGAAGAGUCGGACAUGACUUAACGACUAAACAACAACAACAAUUUCUCUGUAUGAUGGCUUAAAUGCCUGAUUUGUUUAAGACAUACCUUUUUCAUCCAUAUGUAAAUUCUGUUGAUAACCUAAAAACAAACAUACAAUAUGUAUGUUACUGUGAAAUAAUUAUUUUACUUAAGUGUCAUUUAAAGUCACCUUAACACACUUCCUCCAUUGUUUUCUCACCAGCAACGGAACGCAGGUCAUCAGCUGUUACAAGUGGUUCCUGAAAGUCCUCCAGAGAAACAAAAACAGCUGUUUCAAUGCAGAUCAUGUAGUAACUGGAAUAUCUGGAAUAGUUGGAAGAUCAUAUAUGUUUAAAUGUGACAAACUUCACAUGUAUGGAAAUAUUGUCAACAUAAUGUGGUACAAGAACUGUACCAGGAUUGUAAACCAAACGGAGGAAGAGUGGCACAUUAACCAGUUAAAAGCUGAAGAUGCUGGGAAAUAUACUUGUGUGGCAUCAUUCUUUCAUGGACAAAAGAUAUACAACAGCACACAUACAAUAAGCCUAACAGUGAAAGGUGCUGAGGAAAGCACAAGACCAAUGCUAAUUGGACCUCAUUAUCAAGUUUACAAAACAGAAAUAGGUAUGUCUUACUGUUUCUUCUAACAGUGUGGUGUUGUGUACAUCACCCAAACUGAAUAGAUGUCAGAGACAUACCUACAGGACCAGACUAGAGUAUUCAGACAUUAUAUUUAUUGAUAGACAGAGGAUGAUGCGUGAGCCACAUGUUGGUUGAAAUUAUGCCAUGUAAGACUGAUAAUUUCAUCAGUUACAGAGGUUUUUCUACAUUCAAAGGGCCUACCCUGCAGAUAUUUGCACUGUUAUGAAUGGUGGAAUGCAGAUCUACUCAUAUACUUUUUUUGAUAGUAAAAAUAACACCAAGGCAGGCCUUUUGAGGGUUGUAGGAAAGUUUUUUGCAGGAAUUAUGUUGUAUUAUGAUUUAAUUAUAAUCUGUUAAUCAUUCUGUAGCCAUAAGUGAGACUGCAUACCUUAGUUGAAAAUGGGUUAAAAAAUCAGUUCAAAAAUGUUAGUUUUAAUUUUCAUUAAAUUUUAAUUUCCAAACUGCAUAUGAAAAUGGGUUAAAAAAUCAGUUCAAAAACGUUAAUUUUAAUUUUCAUUGUCUUUUCUUUAUUAUGUUUGCCAUCCCAAUUUCCAAACUGCAUAAACAUGAGGUUUCCAAGCGUUACUACCAUGAGCACGAGACUAUUUAUUAAAUAAAAAAGCAUUAUUUUUACA
This 1278-nucleotide long non-coding RNA is filed under the name Pogona vitticeps (central bearded dragon). RNAcentral describes it as "lncRNA (ENSPVIG00000022180.1)". The record is from RNAcentral. Lineage: Eukaryota; Metazoa; Chordata; Lepidosauria; Squamata; Agamidae.